GCAUUAGCAGAUUUAGAAUGAGACCCAGCUGUGAUGAAGAGCUUCAGAAAUGAAACUACUGUGAAAUAUGAGUCUCCUCCUACUGACUGCAGAGCUGCUUCAUGGCAGAGAACUCUUUGAUUCCAGCUGUGAACAUCAGACCAAACACAACUGACAGAACGUGUUCAUACUGAACAUUCAGUUCCAGCAUUUCUCCUCUGUCAACAUGGAGAAACUCGCUGCACUUUUGUUCUUUUCAGCUCUCGUAGGUAACACCUUGGAAGAUGAUAUUACUGCCAGCAGAGCUGAAGUGUUCUCAUCAGAGGGCCGUAGUGUUACUCUGUCCUGUAGCUAUUCAGUUAAAGCCGAGAAUCUCCAGUGGUAUCGACAGGAUCCUGGAUCAGCUCCUCAGUUCCUUCUCCUGAUCACUGAUGCAAAAGAGCCUUCAGUGGUGGAAGCAAAACCUCCACACCCUCAACUGACCGCUAACCUGAAUGAGGAGAGGAAUCGAGUCGAUCUGCAGAUCUCCUCUGCUGCAGUGACAGACUCUGCUGUGUACUACUGUAUCCAGAGACUGGACGGACAGGAGCUGCCAUAUACAUCCCAGCAUACAAACUAG
Non-coding RNA from Micropterus salmoides (largemouth bass), 598 nucleotides. NCBI's taxonomy places the organism in Eukaryota, Metazoa, Chordata, Actinopteri, Centrarchiformes, Centrarchidae. The record is from the annotation of a RefSeq genome assembly.